Molecule: ribosomal RNA, 1205 nt
Filed under: Escherichia coli
Lineage: Bacteria; Pseudomonadati; Pseudomonadota; Gammaproteobacteria; Enterobacterales; Enterobacteriaceae
Description: partial 23S ribosomal RNA
Rfam family: Bacterial large subunit ribosomal RNA
Source: RNAcentral
ACCAUCCUCCAAGGCUAAAUACUCCUGACUGACCGAUAGUGAACCAGUACCGUGAGGGAAAGGCGAAAAGAACCCCGGCGAGGGGAGUGAAAAAGAACCUGAAACCGUGUACGUACAAGCAGUGGGAGCACGCUUAGGCGUGUGACUGCGUACCUUUUGUAUAAUGGGUCAGCGACUUAUAUUCUGUAGCAAGGUUAACCGAAUAGGGGAGCCGAAGGGAAACCGAGUCUUAACUGGGCGUUAAGUUGCAGGGUAUAGACCCGAAACCCGGUGAUCUAGCCAUGGGCAGGUUGAAGGUUGGGUAACACUAACUGGAGGACCGAACCGACUAAUGUUGAAAAAUUAGCGGAUGACUUGUGGCUGGGGGUGAAAGGCCAAUCAAACCGGGAGAUAGCUGGUUCUCCCCGAAAGCUAUUUAGGUAGCGCCUCGUGAAUUCAUCUCCGGGGGUAGAGCACUGUUUCGGCAAGGGGGUCAUCCCGACUUACCAACCCGAUGCAAACUGCGAAUACCGGAGAAUGUUAUCACGGGAGACACACGGCGGGUGCUAACGUCCGUCGUGAAGAGGGAAACAACCCAGACCGCCAGCUAAGGUCCCAAAGUCAUGGUUAAGUGGGAAACGAUGUGGGAAGGCCCAGACAGCCAGGAUGUUGGCUUAGAAGCAGCCAUCAUUUAAAGAAAGCGUAAUAGCUCACUGGUCGAGUCGGCCUGCGCGGAAGAUGUAACGGGGCUAAACCAUGCACCGAAGCUGCGGCAGCGACGCUGAUGCGUUGUUGGGUAGGGGAGCGUUCUGUAAGCCUGCGAAGGUGUGCUGUGAGGCAUGCUGGAGGUAUCAGAAGUGCGAAUGCUGACAUAAGUAACGAUAAAGCGGGUGAAAAGCCCGCUCGCCGGAAGACCAAGGGUUCCUGUCCAACGUUAAUCGGGGCAGGGUGAGUCGACCCCUAAGGCGAGGCCGAAAGGCGUAGUCGAUGGGAAACAGGUUAAUAUUCCUGUACUUGGUGUUACUGCGAAGGGGGGACGGAGAAGGCUAUGUUGGCCGGGCGACGGUUGUCCCGGUUUAAGCGUGUAGGCUGGUUUUCCAGGCAAAUCCGGAAAAUCAAGGCUGAGGCGUGAUGACGAGGCACUACGGUGCUGAAGCAACAAAUGCCCUGCUUCCAGGAAAAGCCUCUAAGCAUCAGGUAACAUCAAAUCGUACCCCAAACCGACA